AUUGAACGCUGGCGGCAUGCCUUACACAUGCAAGUCGAACGGCAGCACGGGAGCAAUCCUGGUGGCGAGUGGCGAACGGGUGAGUAAAGUAUCGGAACGUGCCCAGUCGUGGGGGAUAACGUAGCGAAAGUUACGCUAAUACCGCAUACGAUCUAUGGAUGAAAGCGGGGGAUCGCAAGACCUCGCGCGAUUGGAGCGGCCGAUAUCAGAUUAGGUAGUUGGUGGGGUAAAGGCCCACCAAGCCGACGAUCUGUAGCUGGUCUGAGAGGACGACCAGCCAAACUGUGACUGAGACACGGCCCAGACUCCUACGGGAGGCAGCAGUGGGGAAUUGUGGACAAUGGGCGAAAGCCUGAUCCAGCCAUGCCGCGUGCAGGAUGAAGGCCUUCGGGUUGUAAACUGCUUUUGUACGGAACGAAAAGGACUGCCCUAAUACGGUGGUCCCAUGACGGUACCGUAAGAAUAAGCACCGGCUAACUACGUGCCAGCCGCCGCGGUAA
RNAcentral lists this ribosomal RNA (500 nucleotides) under uncultured bacterium. RNAcentral's name for it is "partial 16S ribosomal RNA". It matches the Rfam family "Bacterial small subunit ribosomal RNA", at positions 30 to 523 of the family's 1533-position model. The record is from RNAcentral.